This 433-nucleotide ribosomal RNA is filed under the name uncultured bacterium. RNAcentral's name for it is "partial 16S ribosomal RNA". It matches the Rfam family "Bacterial small subunit ribosomal RNA", at positions 29 to 507 of the family's 1533-position model. The record is from RNAcentral.
AACGAACGCUGGCGGCAUGCCUAACACAUGCAAGUCGAACGAGACCUUCGGGUCUAGUGGCGCACGGGUGCGUAACGCGUGGGAACCUGCCCUUAGGUUCGGAAUAACUCCCCGAAAGGGGUGCUAAUACCGGAUAAUGUCUUCGGACCAAAGAUUUAUCGCCUUUGGAUGGGCCCGCGUUGGAUUAGCUAGUUGGUAGGGUAAAAGCCUACCAAGGCGACGAUCCAUAGCUGGUCUGAGAGGAUGAUCAGCCACACUGGGACUGAGACACGGCCCAGACUACUACGGGAGGAAGCAGUGGGGAAUAUUGGAAAAUGGGCGAAAGCCUGAUCCAGCAAUGCCGCGUGAGUGAUGAAGGCCUUAGGGUUGUAAAGCUCUUUUACACGGGAUGAUAAUGACAGUACCGGGAGAAUAAGCUCCGGCUAACUCCGUG